RNAcentral lists this ribosomal RNA (468 nucleotides) under uncultured bacterium. RNAcentral describes it as "partial 16S ribosomal RNA". It matches the Rfam family "Bacterial small subunit ribosomal RNA", at positions 28 to 507 of the family's 1533-position model. The record is from RNAcentral.
GACGAACGCUGGCGGCGUGCUUAACACAUGCAAGUCGAACGGAAAGGCCCUGCUUUUGUGGGGUGCUCGAGUGGCGAACGGGUGAGUAACACGUGAGUAACCUGCCCUUGGCUUUGGGAUAACUUCAGGAAACUGGGGCUAAUACCGGAUAGGAGCUCCUGCUGCAUGGUGGGGGUUGGAAAGUUUCGGCGGUUGGGGAUGGACUCGCGGCUGAUCAGCUUGUUGGUGGGGUAGUGGUUUACCAAGGCUUUGACGGGUAGCCGGCCUGAGAGGGUGACCAGCCACAUUGGGACUGAGAGACGGCCCAGACUCCUACGGGAGGCAGCAGUGGGGAAUAUUGCACAAUGGGCGGAAGCCUGAUGCGGCAACGUCGCGUGCGUGAUGACGGCCUUCGGGGUGUAAACCGCUUUCGCCUGUGACGAAGCGUGAGUGACGGUAAUGGGUAAAGAAGCACCGGCUAACUACGUG